CAUACCGCGUGGGUGAAGAAGGCCUUCGGGUUGUAAAGCCCUUUUGUUGGGAAAGAAAUCCUAUCGGUUAAUAACCGGUGGGGAUGACGGUACCCAAAGAAUAAGCACCGGCUAACUUCGUGCCAGCAGCCGCGGUAAUACGAAGGGUGCAAGCGUUACUCGGAAUUACUGGGCGUAAAGCGUGCGUAGGUGGUGGUUUAAGUCCGUUGUGAAAGCCCUGGGCUCAACCUGGGAAUUGCAGUGGAUACUGGAUCACUAGAGUGUGGUAGAGGGAUGCGGAAUUUCUGGUGUAGCAGUGAAAUGCGUAGAGAUCAGAAGGAACAUCCGUGGCGAAGGCGGCAUCCUGGGCCAACACUGACACUGAGGCACGAAAGCGUGGGGAGCAAACAGGAUUAGAUACCCUGGUAGUCCACGCCCUAAACGAUGCGAACUGGAUGUUGGGUGCAACUUGGCACCCAGUAUCGAAGCUAACGCGU
RNAcentral lists this ribosomal RNA (476 nucleotides) under Pseudoxanthomonas sp. RNAcentral describes it as "bacterial SSU rRNA". It matches the Rfam family "Bacterial small subunit ribosomal RNA", at positions 393 to 860 of the family's 1533-position model. Lineage: Bacteria; Pseudomonadati; Pseudomonadota; Gammaproteobacteria; Lysobacterales; Lysobacteraceae. The record is from RNAcentral.